AUGAAGAAAAGUCUAACAAUGCAAGUUUUAUUCUUUUCUCCUCAGCUUGUUGUGGUCGAGGAGGAGCAAACCCAAAAAUCUCAUGCUCCAACGCCUUCGCCAAUAACCAGCGCAAACCCAAAUUCAGCUUCUUCCUUUAAUAUUUCUAGCACCAUUCUUGAUCAAGGAGGCAUAGAGAAUAUUAAGGAGAAGAACCUUGCAGAAGCUUUCAAAAUAAUCAUGGGAAGUCGAGGGACUCCGACCGAAAAAUAUCCCAACUCUUAA
Molecule: non-coding RNA, 264 nt
Organism: Vicia faba (fava bean)
Lineage: Eukaryota; Viridiplantae; Streptophyta; Magnoliopsida; Fabales; Fabaceae
Source: the annotation of a GenBank genome assembly